This 267-nucleotide ribosomal RNA is filed under the name uncultured bacterium. Its description in RNAcentral is "partial 16S ribosomal RNA". It matches the Rfam family "Bacterial small subunit ribosomal RNA", at positions 90 to 353 of the family's 1533-position model. The record is from RNAcentral.
GUUUAGUGGCGGACGGGUGAGUAACGCGUGAGUAACCUGCCUUUCAGAGGGGGAUAACGUUCUGAAAAGAACGCUAAUACCGCAUAACAUCAAUUUAUCGCAUGAUAGGUUGAUCAAAGGAGCAAUCCGCUGGAAGAUGGACUCGCGUCCGAUUAGCCAGUUGGCGGGGUAACGGCCCACCAAACCUUCGAUGGAUAGGGGUUCUGAGAGGAAGGUCCCCCACAUUGGAACUGAGACACGGUCCAAACUCCUACGGGAGGCAGCAUG